GGAAGGCCACAGCAAGAAGGCAGACAAGAAGAGCAAAGCUGAAAAAACAUGACAUCGAACAGUUGGACAGAACUGUACAGGAAAACAUCAACUCUCCAAAAUUUACUUUCUUUAUGCAACUGACAUCUCCUAAGCAACAAACGGCUGAAAUUCUUUUCAAAAUCUGCAAGACUUCGUUAUUUUAGGAAAGCCUAGCUUUAAUUACUGUAGAAUGCUUUCUAAUGCUCAAAGACCACCUAAACUCAUUUGAUGCCCUUUUAAACUUUGUUCUGC
This 273-nucleotide long non-coding RNA is filed under the name Heterocephalus glaber (naked mole-rat). RNAcentral describes it as "lncRNA (ENSHGLG00000026700.2)". The record is from RNAcentral. Lineage: Eukaryota; Metazoa; Chordata; Mammalia; Rodentia; Bathyergidae.